AGUAAACGCUGGCGGUAGGCCUAACACAUGCAAGUCGAACGGCAGCACAGUAAGAGCUUGCUCUUACGGGUGGCGAGUGGCGGACGGGUGAGGAAUACAUCGGAAUCUACUUUUUCGUGGGGGAUAACGUAGGGAAACUUACGCUAAUACCGCAUACGACCUACGGGUGAAAGCAGGGGAUCUUCGGACCUUGCGCGAUUGAAUGAGCCGAUGUCGGAUUAGCUAGUUGGCGGGGUAAAGGCCCACCAAGGCGACGAUCCGUAGCUGGUCUGAGAGGAUGAUCAGCCACACUGGAACUGAGACACGGUCCAGACUCCUACGGGAGGCAGCAGUGGGGAAUAUUGGACAAUGGGCGAAAGCCUGAUCCAGCCAUACCGCGUGGGUGAAGAAGGCCUUCGGGUUGUAAAGCCCUUUUGUUGGGAAAGAAAAGCAGCAGGUUAAUACCCCGCUGUUCUGACGGUACCCAAAGAAUAAGCACCGGCUAACUUCGUG
This 492-nucleotide ribosomal RNA is filed under the name uncultured bacterium. Its description in RNAcentral is "partial 16S ribosomal RNA". It matches the Rfam family "Bacterial small subunit ribosomal RNA", at positions 29 to 507 of the family's 1533-position model. The record is from RNAcentral.